GGGGAAUAUUGCGCAAUGGGGGAAACCCUGACGCAGCAAUACCGCGUGAGUGAAGAAGGUUUUCGGAUCGUAAAGCUCUGUUAUUGGGGAAGAAAAAAAGACGGUACCCAAGAAGAAAGUCCCGGCUAACUACGUGCCAGCAGCCGCGGUAAUACGUAGGGGGCGAGCGUUGUCCGGAAUGACUGGGCGUAAAGGGCGCGUAGGCGGCUUUUUAAGUUUGGAGUGAAAGUCCUGCUUUCAAGGUGGGAAUUGCUUUGAAAACUGGAGAGCUUGAGUGCGGAAGAGGUAAGUGGAAUUCCCAGUGUAGCGGUGAAAUGCGUAGAGAUUGGGAGGAACACCAGUGGCGAAGGCGACUUACUGGGCCGUAACUGACGCUGAGGCGCGAAAGCGUGGGGAGCAAACA
This 403-nucleotide ribosomal RNA is filed under the name uncultured Bacillota bacterium. Its description in RNAcentral is "bacterial SSU rRNA". It matches the Rfam family "Bacterial small subunit ribosomal RNA", at positions 356 to 774 of the family's 1533-position model. Lineage: Bacteria; Bacillati; Bacillota. The record is from RNAcentral.